UUAUUUUCUUAUUUCAUUUAAUAUUACUUCAAUUUUCAUCUUAUUCUUACAUAUUUUUAUUUUAACUUCUACUACGUAUAUUAACGCAUGCGCAUAACGUUCAAAGUACAUGAUCGCCUAUAUCUAUCGUAUCGUUUGUCUCACUUUCUUGGCAUCACUACCGCUUAUGGGAGAGAUGUGUGAAUAGCAAUAUAGUAGUAUUACAUAUAUGGGUUUACUUCGGAUCAGCGCUGUUCUUGUCCAAAUCCUUAUUAUUUGAAUCUGUUUCCUUUGGAGAUUUUAUUCUCGGGACCGAAGAUUUAGAUGGAUCUGUUUUGAAAACAGCCAGGUCGAGCGUGCCUGGAUUAUAACUUUUCAACAGACGUCUAAAUUGAAUCCGCCGUCCGGCUCUUCUUGUUCUUUUCGGCAUGAGAGAUUUUUAGCACAACACUCUUAAAGUAAGGAAGAGGAGAACUGUGCUCGUGGUUCAAGCACGGCGUUCUGGAAAAAGAAUGAAGAUGAUAAGAGGGAAGAGAGGCUCAAGACCCCUUGGCAAUCGGCUAACAAGAGGCUCAGCGAAAGAUUGUCUGAUGGCUAGUUGGAGG
This is a long non-coding RNA of Harpegnathos saltator (Jerdon's jumping ant), 584 nucleotides long. RefSeq lists it as uncharacterized. The record is from RefSeq and is a predicted model, not a curated record. The transcript is spliced from 4 exons. Lineage: Eukaryota; Metazoa; Arthropoda; Insecta; Hymenoptera; Formicidae.